Non-coding RNA from Salmo salar (Atlantic salmon), 226 nucleotides. The record is from RefSeq and is a predicted model, not a curated record. Lineage: Eukaryota; Metazoa; Chordata; Actinopteri; Salmoniformes; Salmonidae.
CAGAGUUUCACUUUUCUGGAUGCAAAGUGCAGUAAGCCAAAAUGAAGAACCUCAAGGCAAAAUUGAAGAAGAAUGAGUGAGAGAUCCCCAUAGCCAGAGUAAUAUGACUGCUUUGCUGGGGUGUAGCUGAGAGAGAACAGAAGCCAGGACUGGAGUAAGAGUGAUGAGAGACUACUGCAGGCUGUAGGGCAGAACGAACCUGACAAAGUAGCUGCUCUGAUCGUGA